RNAcentral lists this long non-coding RNA (713 nucleotides) under Zostera marina. RNAcentral's name for it is "long non-coding RNA (ZMAR_LNC004952)". The record is from RNAcentral. Lineage: Eukaryota; Viridiplantae; Streptophyta; Magnoliopsida; Alismatales; Zosteraceae.
UCGUCCAGGUCGAGAGUAAUUUAUUCCAACGUAAUCCUCUAAUCCAAGCAAGAGCAUCCUUGGUCAUGUGCAGAGUUGCGAUCUGGAUCUUGGCCUCAUCGCCAAUAGAAUGGAAAGAAAAAUAUUCCUCCGCCUGGUAGACCCAUCCUUGUGGAUCCUUACCGGAGAAUCUAGGUAGGUCCAAUUUUAUUGAUCUUAAACCUUUGCCACUCUGCUCCUGUCCCUUACUGCUCGAUCCCCCAUGGAACCCUUUAAUUAGUAAAUGCUUAACUUCACAUAAUUCGUCACAGAUGUUCGAGAUAGCAAGAUCAUGACGCUUGGAUACGUCUGUUAACUUCUUUGUUUGAUCCACCGUAAUUGACGCCAGUGAAUUCCUUCAGUGCUUCAUCCGAUCGUCCUUCCAUAAUGAAUUCAAAUGAUUAUUGAGUAAAAUAAAUUGUAUAGCAGGAUAAAUUCGUACGUCUCUGAUGGAGACCCAAUUAAGGCUUGGGACGCGCCCUGGAGUAUUCAAAUGUUUAUGGUCGUUCCCGACCGAUCCUGCACCCACGGUGAGAGUCUAAAAAUAAAGCACCAAUUAAUGUGACGGUUCAAAGAUCAGAGUGUGUCGCGUCAGAGUACGAGAGAGAGAAGAGUAAAUUCCCCGAGGGGACCGGAGGAAGAUAGCGAAGAUAUCCCGAGGGAUCCGAGGGUAGAAGUUACGAAUAAUUUCUGAA